UUUCCGUAGGUGAACCUGCGGAAGGGUCAUUAUUGAAUAAACCUGAUGGGUUGUUGCUGGCUCUUCACCGGGGCAUGUGCACGCCUAUCUUCUUUAUUUUUCCACCUGUGCACCACUUGUAGGCUUGAAUAGCACUUUAAUUGGCCUUCGGGUCAGCUUUGAGGAAUGCGGCCUUGGUUGCUAUCCUCUCCGAUGUUCAAGUCUAUGUUUUACUACACACCCAUUGUUAAACCCAGAAUGUAAUUUACAGGCCGCAAGUGUGCCUAAAACACUAUACAACUUUCAGCAACGGAUCUCUUGGCUCUC
This 306-nucleotide unclassified non-coding RNA is filed under the name plant metagenome. Its description in RNAcentral is "partial contains small subunit ribosomal RNA, internal transcribed spacer 1, and 5.8S ribosomal RNA". The record is from RNAcentral.